GUGCCAGCCGCUGCGGUAAUACCGGCAGCCCGAGUGAUGGCCGAUCUUAUUGGGCCUAAAGCGUCCGUAGCUGGCUGCGCAAGUCCGUCGGGAAAUCCACUCGCCCAACGAGUGAGCGUCCGACGGAAACUGCACAGCUUGGGACCGGAAGGCUCGAAGGGUACGUUCGGGGUAGGAGUGAAAUCCCAUAAUCCCGCACGGACCACCGAUGGCGAAAGCACUUCGAGAAAACGGAUCCGACAGUGAGGGACGAAAGCUAAGAUCGCGAACCGGAUUAGAAACCCUGGUAGUCC
This 293-nucleotide ribosomal RNA is filed under the name uncultured bacterium. RNAcentral describes it as "partial 16S ribosomal RNA". It matches the Rfam family "Archaeal small subunit ribosomal RNA", at positions 455 to 747 of the family's 1478-position model. The record is from RNAcentral.